Molecule: ribosomal RNA, 515 nt
Filed under: uncultured bacterium
Lineage: Bacteria
Description: partial 16S ribosomal RNA
Rfam family: Bacterial small subunit ribosomal RNA
Source: RNAcentral
GAUGAACGCUGGCGGCGUGCCUAAUACAUGCAAGUCGAGCGAAUGGAUUAAGUGCUCGCUCUUAUGAAGUUAGCGGCGGACGGGUGAGUAACACGUGGGUAACCUGCCCAUAAGACUGGGAUAACUCCGGGAAACCGGGGCUAAUACCGGAUAACAUUUUGAACCGCAUGGUUCGAAAUUGAAAGGCGGCUUCGGCUGUCACUUAUGGAUGGACCCGCGUCGCAUUAGCUAGUUGGUGAGGUAACGGCUCACCAAGGCAACGAUGCGUAGCCGACCUGAGAGGGUGAUCGGCCGCACUGGGACUGAGACACGGCCCAGACUCCUACGGGAGGCAGCAGUAGGGAAUCUUCCGCAAUGGACGAAAGUCUGACGGAGCAACGCCGCGUGAGUGAUGAAGGCUUUCGGGUCGUAAAACUCUGUUGUUAGGGAAGAACAAGUGCUAGUUGAAUAAGCUGGCACCUUGACGGUACCUAACCAGAAAGCCACGGCUAACUACGUGCCAGCCGCCGCUGUAA